CUGUUUCCGGGGUGGAGCCAGGGAGGGCGGGAGUUUAGGCUGCACCGACCCCUCAGCCCCCCUCCAGGAGACGUUCGGAGCCCAGGACAUGUCGGGAUUGAGGAGAUACGAGGUGGCGCUGGAGGCGGAGGAGGAGAUCUACUGGGGUUGCUUCUACUUUUUCCCCUGGCUGCGCAUGUGGCGGAGGGACAGGAGCUCGGCGCAUCCCCGGGAGCAGAAGCUGGAGCCUCUACGAGGCCUGAUGAGCUGUCUAUCAAGCGGCCUGGGCCCUGCCCCCCAGCGCUCGGGUCGCGGCCUCCCCCGCCGCACCCCCACCGCCACUGCCCAGCCAGCCGGUGCAUUAAAGAUUUAAACCGAAGCCACCGUGCUGCCCUCCUGACUCUGCCGCCGCUGCCGCCAUUCGGGCUGGGAGCCCCUCUACACGCCUGCUUUUCGUUACUGACAGGGCCUCCCUCCCUGAUAGGGUGCCCUUCCAUAUCCAGGCCCCCGUUAUUACUAAGGAUCCCUCAUCAGUAUCAGGCGUCCCAUUACUGUCAUUGACUGCCCUCCGCCACCUAACCCCCCCCGCCCCCACUUCGCUGUAAAUAGCCUGUAUGACGGGAACUAAGUAGCCCUGUCCCGGUCUUCCUCCCAGCCUAUCUCCACAU
Molecule: RNA transcript, 647 nt
Organism: Odobenus rosmarus divergens (Pacific walrus)
Lineage: Eukaryota; Metazoa; Chordata; Mammalia; Carnivora; Odobenidae
Exons: 4
Source: RefSeq, a predicted model, not a curated record